Molecule: ribosomal RNA, 1372 nt
Filed under: uncultured bacterium
Lineage: Bacteria
Description: bacterial SSU rRNA
Rfam family: Bacterial small subunit ribosomal RNA
Source: RNAcentral
GAUGAACGCAGGCGGCGUGCCUAAUACAUGCAAGUCGAGCGAACGGACGAGAAGCUUGCUUCUCUGAUGUUAGCGGCGGACGGGUGAGUAACACGUGGAUAACCUACCUAUAAGACUGGGAUAACUUCGGGAAACCGGAGCUAAUACCGGAUAAUAUUUUGAACCGCAUGGUUCAAAAGUGAAAGACGGUCUUGCUGUCACUUAUAGAUGGAUCCGCGCUGCAUUAGCUAGUUGGUAAGGUAACGGCUUACCAAGGCAACGAUGCAUAGCCGACCUGAGAGGGUGAUCGGCCACACUGGAACUGAGACACGGUCCAGACUCCUACGGGAGGCAGCAGUAGGGAAUCUUCCGCAAUGGGCGAAAGCCUGACGGAGCAACGCCGCGUGAGUGAUGAAGGUCUUCGGAUCGUAAAACUCUGUUAUUAGGGAAGAACAUAUGUGUAAGUAACUGUGCACAUCUUGACGGUACCUAAUCAGAAAGCCACGGCUAACUACGUGCCAGCAGCCGCGGUAAUACGUAGGUGGCAAGCGUUAUCCGGAAUUAUUGGGCGUAAAGCGCGCGUAGGCGGUUUUUUAAGUCUGAUGUGAAAGCCCACGGCUCAACCGUGGAGGGUCAUUGGAAACUGGAAAACUUGAGUGCAGAAGAGGAAAGUGGAAUUCCAUGUGUAGCGGUGAAAUGCGCAGAGAUAUGGAGGAACACCAGUGGCGAAGGCGACUUUCUGGUCUGUAACUGACGCUGAUGUGCGAAAGCGUGGGGAUCAAACAGGAUUAGAUACCCUGGUAGUCCACGCCGUAAACGAUGAGUGCUAAGUGUUAGGGGGUUUCCGCCCCUUAGUGCUGCAGCUAACGCAUUAAGCACUCCGCCUGGGGAGUACGACCGCAAGGUUGAAACUCAAAGGAAUUGACGGGGACCCGCACAAGCGGUGGAGCAUGUGGUUUAAUUCGAAGCAACGCGAAGAACCUUACCAAAUCUUGACAUCCUUUGACAACUCUAGAGAUAGAGCCUUCCCCUUCGGGGGACAAAGUGACAGGUGGUGCAUGGUUGUCGUCAGCUCGUGUCGUGAGAUGUUGGGUUAAGUCCCGCAACGAGCGCAACCCUUAAGCUUAGUUGCCAUCAUUAAGUUGGGCACUCUAAGUUGACUGCCGGUGACAAACCGGAGGAAGGUGGGGAUGACGUCAAAUCAUCAUGCCCCUUAUGAUUUGGGCUACACACGUGCUACAAUGGACAAUACAAAGGGCAGCGAAGCCGCGAGGUCAAGCAAAUCCCAUAAAGUUGUUCUCAGUUCGGAUUGUAGUCUGCAACUCGACUACAUGAAGCUGGAAUCGCUAGUAAUCGUAGAUCAGCAUGCUACGGUGAAUACGUUCCCGGGUCU